This is a long non-coding RNA of Ixodes scapularis (black-legged tick), 932 nucleotides long. RefSeq lists it as uncharacterized. The transcript has 4 exons. Lineage: Eukaryota; Metazoa; Arthropoda; Arachnida; Ixodida; Ixodidae. The record is from RefSeq and is a predicted model, not a curated record.
UCCGUUUUCCUGGGUCAACUUAGCUUCCUUAGCGUGUUUUCUUUUUUUUUUUUUCUGUUGCUUGCGCGUGCAAAUGCCGACUCUUUUGAGAUGUCAGUUCCUGCAAACCGGCUCCGUUGCUCUGUGAAGUGUUGCCGGAUUAGUGAUCGCGACAAGGAGUCUUCCAGCAGCCAUGUCGCCCCGAAAGAUGACAAGCUGAAUGCUAUUUGGCUGGAGGCAAUCGGACGCUCGCGCAGCGACAAACAUGUCCAGGUAUGUUCGCGUCACUUCGCUCCGGAGGCCUUCGAGAUUCGCACCCCGCUCACCGAACGUCCACGACUGAGACGUGGGGCGGUCCCGACGCUAUUCCUACCGAGUGCAACAGCAGCAAGUGCAGCAUCAUCGGUAAGUCAAACUUCUAGGGAUAAUUGCUUACUACCUACGCUAAGGUUUCUGGUGGCGCAUUGUCUCGUUUUAGAACUGUUCUAUUUUAUCCGAAAAUUGUUGUAACGCUGGUAAGCGAGUUUCAGCUCAGAAGUUAAUAUUUUGCAUCCAGCAAUUACAAACAUCCUAAAUCACUGUGGCCAGUGAUUAGCACCUACGGGUACGGGCUACUUGCCUUCAGUGUUGUUUACCCACGCCACCAAGAAUUGAAUGAAGAAAUAUCAAAAAUUUAGAACGCAUUCUCUUCUGUGCAAUCCAACCAGCUGAUAACCGGACCAACAAGGCUGGGGCCAGCACCUGUGCCUAACCAUGACAGCCAAGUUGGAAGCCCCUCUGCACUGAUAACCGGACCAACAAGGCCAGCACCUGUGCCUAACCGUGACAGCCAAGUUGGAAGCCCCUCUGCACUGACAACCGGACCAACAAGGCAAGCACCUGUUCCUAACCAUGACAGCCAAGUUGGAAGCCCCUCUGCAGCUCACUGCUGCAGGUGCUCUGCUCCUCGUGCA